UCAGCAAAAAAGACUAUUCAACCACAGCCUGGUACUUUACUGUGUCUUCUACGGCGACCUCUAGUGGGUGAAGUUGGCAGCAGGUUUGGCUCUGCUGGAGCAGGUCAGGUUCACCCAGCUACCUGGUGACACCAAACCUGAUGGACUGAUCCUCGCUGAGGUGUCUUUGGGAGCAUCUGAAGAAAAUAGUAGUUGGAAGAACAGGUGAUGUUGCAUCCAUCGUGCUUGUCAGACAGAGUGAUGGUCGUCUGGAUUUUAGUCGUAAAGGUUCG
Molecule: long non-coding RNA, 272 nt
Organism: Thunnus maccoyii (southern bluefin tuna)
Lineage: Eukaryota; Metazoa; Chordata; Actinopteri; Scombriformes; Scombridae
Exons: 3
Source: RefSeq, a predicted model, not a curated record